AUUGAACGCUGGCGGCAGGCCUAACACAUGCAAGUCGAACGAGUGGCGGACGGGUGAGUAAUGUCUGGGAAACUGCCCGCUGGAGGGGGAUAACUACUGGAAACGGUAGCUAAUACCGCAUACCAUCGGAUGUGCCCAUAUGGGAUUAGCUAGUCGGUGGGGUAACGGCUCACCUAGGCGACGAUCCCUAGCUGGUCUGAGAGGAUGACCAGCCACACUGGAACUGAUACACGGUCCAGACUCCUACGGGAGGCAGCAGUGGGGAAUAUUGCACAAUGGGCGCAAUCCUGAUGCAGCCAUGCCGCGUGUAUGAAGAAGGCCUUCGGGUUGUAAAGCACUUUCAGCGGGGAGGCGUUACCCGCAGAAGAAGCACCGGCUAACUCCGUGCCAGCCGCCGCGGUAAUUC
RNAcentral lists this ribosomal RNA (406 nucleotides) under uncultured bacterium. RNAcentral describes it as "partial 16S ribosomal RNA". It matches the Rfam family "Bacterial small subunit ribosomal RNA", at positions 30 to 526 of the family's 1533-position model. The record is from RNAcentral.